GACGAACGCUGGCGGCGUGCCUAAUACAUGCAAGUAGAACGCUGAAGGAGGAGCUUGCUCUUCUGGAUGAGUUGCGAACGGGUGAGUAACGCGUAGGUAACCUGCCUGGUAGCGGGGGAUAACUAUUGGAAACGAUAGCUAAUACCGCAUAACAGUAGAUGUUGCAUGACAUUUGCUUAAAAGGUGCAAUUGCAUCACUACCAGAUGGACCUGCGUUGUAUUAGCUAGUUGGUGGGGUAACGGCUCACCAAGGCGACGAUACAUAGCCGACCUGAGAGGGUGAUCGGCCACACUGGGACUGAGACACGGCCCAGACUCCUACGGGAGGCAGCAGUAGGGAAUCUUCGGCAAUGGACGGAAGUCUGACCGUGCAACGCCGCGUGAGUGAAGAAGGUUUUCGGAUCGUAAAGCUCUGUUGUAAGAGAAGAACGAGUGUGAGAGUGGAAAGUUCACACUGUGACGGUAUCUUACCAGAAAGGGACGGCUAACUACGUG
RNAcentral lists this ribosomal RNA (495 nucleotides) under uncultured bacterium. RNAcentral describes it as "partial 16S ribosomal RNA". It matches the Rfam family "Bacterial small subunit ribosomal RNA", at positions 28 to 507 of the family's 1533-position model. The record is from RNAcentral.